Manis pentadactyla (Chinese pangolin) is the source of this 107-nucleotide small nuclear RNA. The record is from RefSeq and is a predicted model, not a curated record. Lineage: Eukaryota; Metazoa; Chordata; Mammalia; Pholidota; Manidae.
GUUCUUGCUUUGUCAGUACACACACUAAAACUGGCACAACACAGAGAAGAUUAGCAUGGCCCUUGCACAAGGAGAACAUGCAAAUUCAUAAAAUGUUCCAUAGUUUU